UGGCUCUCCCCUUGAACACUGAGCAGAAGGCUGGGGCUGGAGGAGGCAGGAGGAGCAGCUGGGGAAGGGGAAAGGAAAGAGGGGAAGCAGGGAGAAGGGGAACCAGGGAUGGGGUUAGGAGCUCCAAGGCCAAGGGGGUUCGUGGGGAGGCCUGAGGAGGAGCCGUGAAGGUGGGGCAGGAGCUAGAAGCCCAACUCAGGUGGGAGGAAGAUGAGGGAGAUGGUAUUAGAAAAACCAGGAUGGAGGAGGAGAAGAGGGAGUUUACAGUUUAAAGAGUCAGAGAAAUGAGAGAAGAAACGGCAUCUGAUGAUGACGAGAACGUCACGGUUGACAUCACGUAGGAAGAAGGAACCGUGGUCUGUCUUCAGGGUUCUGUCCUUCUGUUCCUGCUCAGGAUGUAACUCUGGUGUGGACAGCUGCUAACAUCCAAUCAGACAACAGGAUUGAAGGCCCUGUCAUAGUGACAAUGGUGACAUCACUGGAAGGACUCGCGGAGAGAAGACAGCGGAGCAGCAGACACACAGCGGAGCAGCCAGCCACUGCUCGCCGGCCGCGGCGCGUUCGGCUGCCGGCUGCGAGCAGCGCGGACUACCCGGGAGAGAGCGUGAAGAGGCGGACGACGUGCAGGGCGGACUGUGGCUUUUGGAGCGGGCGCACGGUGCUCCGAGUGCGGGCGGAAUGAGGCGGGAUCGCCCGAUCGGGUGAAAGAGGACGAAGAGGACGAAGAUGAGGAUGAGGACGAGGAGCGCGUCUUGUUUUAUUACAACAUGAGGAAGACAACUCCCAAACUGGCGCAUGAUGAAAAGACGGACGAAGAACUACGAAGGGAACAGGACAUCGACUAAACCACCGGAUGGCAACUGGGAAGGUGAUGCCGCUGGUGGACCAUCAAACCAGCAGAAUCAGGAGGGACCAGAAGAUGCUGACACACACACACACACACAGAGUUGCAUACGUGGCAGUAUGCUGCAGUGUUCUGUGGCUGUGUGUCAGCAGUGACUGGAGCUGAACAGACGUGAACACUGAGGGUUCAUCUGGAUGGAAGUGUUGGGUCUCUUCUCUGGUGUUGACAGAAACACCUGAAACUAAUUUGGUUAAAGAUAACAUAGUGACAGACAAUUAAUUUAAACAAAUAUUGUUUUUUUAGAAAGUAAGAAAAUCCUUAUUUUAAUGACAUGUACCUCUUACGUACUUCCAUGUA
Molecule: long non-coding RNA, 1201 nt
Organism: Cynoglossus semilaevis (tongue sole)
Lineage: Eukaryota; Metazoa; Chordata; Actinopteri; Pleuronectiformes; Cynoglossidae
Exons: 4
Source: RefSeq, a predicted model, not a curated record